This 253-nucleotide ribosomal RNA is filed under the name uncultured bacterium. Its description in RNAcentral is "partial 16S ribosomal RNA". It matches the Rfam family "Bacterial small subunit ribosomal RNA", at positions 524 to 776 of the family's 1533-position model. The record is from RNAcentral.
UACGUAGGAUGCAAGCGUUGUCCGGAAUUACUGGGCGUAAAGGGCGCGCAGGUGGCACUACAAGUCUGAUGUAAAAUCUCCCGGCUUAACUGGGAGGGGCCAUUGGAAACUGUAGAGCUGGAGUGCAGGAGAGGCUAACGGAAUUCCCGGUGUAGUGGUGAAAUGCGUAGAUAUCGGGAGGAACACCAGUGGCGAAGGCGGUUAGCUGGCCUGUAACUGACACUGAGGAGCGAAAGCCAGGGGAGCAAACGGG